CAAUGGUGUUAUCAGAGCUCACUGCAGCCUUAACCUCCUGGGCUCAAGUGAUUCUCCCACCUCAGUCUCCCUGGGACUACAGAGUAGGAAGGAGAAGAGUGCUGAAUCAAGGCCCCCAAGGAGUCCCCAUUCCAAUCCCCAGAAGCUGUGAACAUCUCAAUUGGCAAAAGGGACUCUGCGGUGUGACUAAGUGUGCAGGUAGGGGACAAGAUAUGAUGAGGGUCCUUAAGGAGGCCAAAGGAUCGAUGGGUGUCAGAGAGCUGGCAGCCUAAGGAAGACGUGACCAACCAUGGCUGGCUUUGAAGACGGAGGAAUGGACCAAGAAAAAAAAAAGGGGGAACGUGGGCUGACUCUAGAAGCUGGAAAAGGCAACAAAAUGGGGGAGCUGACCUUUUGCCUUCCUGCUGCAUGACCAGCUAACUAUGGAGGGUGCGG
This 435-nucleotide long non-coding RNA is filed under the name Homo sapiens (human). RNAcentral describes it as "HSALNT0263130". The record is from RNAcentral. Lineage: Eukaryota; Metazoa; Chordata; Mammalia; Primates; Hominidae.